Molecule: ribosomal RNA, 524 nt
Filed under: uncultured bacterium
Lineage: Bacteria
Description: partial 16S ribosomal RNA
Rfam family: Bacterial small subunit ribosomal RNA
Source: RNAcentral
GACGAACGCUGGCGGCGUGCCUAAUACAUGCAAGUCGAACGCCUCUUUUUCCACCGGAGCUUGCUCCAUCGGAAAAAGAGGAGUGGCGAACGGGUGAGUAACACGUGGGUAACCUGCCCAUCAGAAGGGGAUAACACUUGGAAACAGGUGCUAAUACCGUAUAACAAUCGAAACCGCAUGGUUUCGAUUUGAAAGGCGCUUUCGGGUGUCGCUGAUGGAUGGACCCGCGGUGCAUUAGCUAGUUGGUGAGGUAACGGCUCACCAAGGCGACGAUGCAUAGCCGACCUGGGAGGGGGAUCGGCCACAUUGGGACUGGGAAACGGCCCAAACUCCUACGGGAGGCAGCAGUAGGGAAUCUUCGGCAAUGGACGAAAGUCUGACCGAGCAACGCCGCGUGAGUGAAGAAGGUUUUCGGAUCGUAAAACUCUGUUGUUAGAGAAGAACAAGGAUGAGAGUAACUGUUCAUCCCUUGACGGUAUCUAACCAGAAAGCCACGGCUAACUACGUGCCAGCAGCCGCGGUAA